Molecule: ribosomal RNA, 330 nt
Filed under: uncultured bacterium
Lineage: Bacteria
Description: bacterial SSU rRNA
Rfam family: Bacterial small subunit ribosomal RNA
Source: RNAcentral
CGUGUAGGCGGGUCUUUAAGUCAGGGGUGAAAUGCCAAGGCUCAACCUUGGAACUGCCUUUGAUACUGGAGAUCUUGAGUCCGGGAGAGGUGAGUGGAACUGCGAGUGUAGAGGUGAAAUUCGUAGAUAUUCGCAAGAACACCAGUGGCGAAGGCGGCUCACUGGCCCGGAACUGACGCUGAGACGCGAAAGCGUGGGGAGCAAACAGGAUUAGAUACCCUGGUAGUCCACGCUGUAAACGAUGGAUGCUAGCCGUUGGGGAGCUUGCUCUUCAGUGGCGCCGCUAACGCUUUAAGCAUCCCGCCUGGGGAGUACGGCCGCAAGAUUAAA